AGCCUCUGAUGUCAGAAAAUAUUUGCUACUCUUGAUGGGGAACCCAUCUGAUGAUCAUCGACCACCAAGAUCUCUGAGGCU
Molecule: small nucleolar RNA, 81 nt
Organism: Elaeis guineensis (African oil palm)
Lineage: Eukaryota; Viridiplantae; Streptophyta; Magnoliopsida; Arecales; Arecaceae
Product: small nucleolar RNA SNORD24
Source: RefSeq, a predicted model, not a curated record